Molecule: ribosomal RNA, 484 nt
Filed under: uncultured bacterium
Lineage: Bacteria
Description: partial 16S ribosomal RNA
Rfam family: Bacterial small subunit ribosomal RNA
Source: RNAcentral
AUUGAACGCUGGCGGCAGGCCUAACACAUGCAAGUCGAGCGGAUGAAGGGAGCUUGCUCCUGGAUUCAGCGGCGGACGGGUGAGUAAUGCCUAGGAGUCUGCCUGGUAGUGGGGGAUAACGUCCGGAAACGGGCGCUAAUACCGCAUACGUCCUGAGGGAGAAAGAGGGGGAUCUUCGGACCUCACGCUAUCAGAUGAGCCUAGGUCGGAUUAGCUAGUUGGUGGGGUAAAGGCCUACCAAGGCGACGAUCCGUAACUGGUCUGAGAGGAUGAUCAGUCACACUGGAACUUGGACACGGUCCAGACUCCUACGGGAGGCAGCCGUGGGGAAUAUUGGACAAUGGGCGAAAGCCUUAUCCAGCCAUGCCGCGUGUGUGAAGAAGGUCUUCGGAUUGUAAAGCACUUUAUGUUGGGAGGAAGGGCAGUAAGUUGAUACCUUGCUGUUUUGACGUUACCAACAGAAUAAGCACCGGCUAACUUCGUG